Molecule: ribosomal RNA, 1394 nt
Filed under: Klebsiella sp.
Lineage: Bacteria; Pseudomonadati; Pseudomonadota; Gammaproteobacteria; Enterobacterales; Enterobacteriaceae
Description: bacterial SSU rRNA
Rfam family: Bacterial small subunit ribosomal RNA
Source: RNAcentral
UGCAGUCGAGCGGUAGCACAGAGAGCUUGCUCUCGGGUGACGAGCGGCGGACGGGUGAGUAAUGUCUGGGAAACUGCCUGAUGGAGGGGGAUAACUACUGGAAACGGUAGCUAAUACCGCAUAAUGUCGCAAGACCAAAGUGGGGGACCUUCGGGCCUCAUGCCAUCAGAUGUGCCCAGAUGGGAUUAGCUAGUAGGUGGGGUAACGGCUCACCUAGGCGACGAUCCCUAGCUGGUCUGAGAGGAUGACCAGCCACACUGGAACUGAGACACGGUCCAGACUCCUACGGGAGGCAGCAGUGGGGAAUAUUGCACAAUGGGCGCAAGCCUGAUGCAGCCAUGCCGCGUGUGUGAAGAAGGCCUUCGGGUUGUAAAGCACUUUCAGCGGGGAGGAAGGCGUUAAGGUUAAUAACCUUGGCGAUUGACGUUACCCGCAGAAGAAGCACCGGCUAACUCCGUGCCAGCAGCCGCGGUAAUACGGAGGGUGCAAGCGUUAAUCGGAAUUACUGGGCGUAAAGCGCACGCAGGCGGUCUGUCAAGUCGGAUGUGAAAUCCCCGGGCUCAACCUGGGAACUGCAUUCGAAACUGGCAGGCUAGAGUCUUGUAGAGGGGGGUAGAAUUCCAGGUGUAGCGGUGAAAUGCGUAGAGAUCUGGAGGAAUACCGGUGGCGAAGGCGGCCCCCUGGACAAAGACUGACGCUCAGGUGCGAAAGCGUGGGGAGCAAACAGGAUUAGAUACCCUGGUAGUCCACGCCGUAAACGAUGUCGAUUUGGAGGUUGUGCCCUUGAGGCGUGGCUUCCGGAGCUAACGCGUUAAAUCGACCGCCUGGGGAGUACGGCCGCAAGGUUAAAACUCAAAUGAAUUGACGGGGGCCCGCACAAGCGGUGGAGCAUGUGGUUUAAUUCGAUGCAACGCGAAGAACCUUACCUGGUCUUGACAUCCACAGAACUUAGCAGAGAUGGUUUGGUGCCUUCGGGAACUGUGAGACAGGUGCUGCAUGGCUGUCGUCAGCUCGUGUUGUGAAAUGUUGGGUUAAGUCCCGCAACGAGCGCAACCCUUAUCCUUUGUUGCCAGCGGUUAGGCCGGGAACUCAAAGGAGACUGCCAGUGAUAAACUGGAGGAAGGUGGGGAUGACGUCAAGUCAUCAUGGCCCUUACGACCAGGGCUACACACGUGCUACAAUGGCAUAUACAAAGAGAAGCGACCUCGCGAGAGCAAGCGGACCUCAUAAAGUAUGUCGUAGUCCGGAUUGGAGUCUGCAACUCGACUCCAUGAAGUCGGAAUCGCUAGUAAUCGUAGAUCAGAAUGCUACGGUGAAUACGUUCCCGGGCCUUGUACACACCGCCCGUCACACCAUGGGAGUGGGUUGCAAAAGAAGUAGGUAGCUUAACCUCG